Molecule: ribosomal RNA, 465 nt
Filed under: uncultured bacterium
Lineage: Bacteria
Description: partial 16S ribosomal RNA
Rfam family: Bacterial small subunit ribosomal RNA
Source: RNAcentral
CGACCGCUGGCGGCGUGCUUAACACAUGCAAGUCGAACGGAAAGGCCCUGCUUUUGUGGGGUGCUCGAGUGGCGAACGGGUGAGUAACACGUGAGUAACCUGCCCUUGACUUUGGGAUAACUUCAGGAAACUGGGGCUAAUACCGGAUAGGAGCUCCUGCUGCAUGGUGGGGGUUGGAAAGUUUCGGCGGUUGGGGAUGGACUCGCGGCCUAUCAGCUUGUUGGUGGGGUAGUGGCUUACCAAGGCUUUGACGGGUAGCCGGCCUGAGAGGGUGACCGGCCACAUUGGGACUGAGAUACGGCCCAGACUCCUACGGGAGGCAGCAGUGGGGAAUAUUGCACAAUGGGCGGAAGCCUGAUGCAGCAACGCCGCGUGCGGGAUGACGGCCUUCGGGUUGUAAACCGCUUUCGCCUGUGACGAAGCGUGAGUGACGGUAAUGGGUAAAGAAGCACCGGCUAACUACGU